GGGUUGUGAGGUUAAGCGACUAAGCGUACACGGUGGAUGCCCUGGCAGUCAGAGGCGAUGAAGGACGUGCUAAUCUGCGAAAAGCGUCGGUAAGGUGAUAU
This 101-nucleotide ribosomal RNA is filed under the name Klebsiella pneumoniae. Its description in RNAcentral is "partial 23S ribosomal RNA". It matches the Rfam family "Bacterial large subunit ribosomal RNA", at positions 1 to 92 of the family's 2925-position model. The record is from RNAcentral. Lineage: Bacteria; Pseudomonadati; Pseudomonadota; Gammaproteobacteria; Enterobacterales; Enterobacteriaceae.